CAAUAGCGUAUAUUAAAGUUGUUGCAGUUAGAACGCUCGUAGUCGGAUUUCGGGGCGGGCCGACCGGUCUGCCGAUGGGUAUGCACUGGUCGGCGCGUCCUUCCUUCCGGAGACCGUCCCUACUCUUAACUGAGCGGGGGCGGGAGACGGGACUUUUACUUUGAAAAAAUCAGAGUGUUUCAAGCAGGCAGCUCGCUCUUGCAUGGAUUAGCAUGGGAUAAUGAAAUAGGACUUUGGUGCUAUUUUGUUGGUUUCGAACACCGAAGUAAUGAUGAGAAGGGACAGUCAGGGGCACUCGUAUUCCGCCGAGAGAGGUGAAAUUCUCAGACCAGCGGAAGACGAACCACUGCGAAANGANNNGCCAGGGAUGUUUUCACNGA
RNAcentral lists this ribosomal RNA (380 nucleotides) under uncultured eukaryote. RNAcentral describes it as "partial 18S ribosomal RNA". It matches the Rfam family "Eukaryotic small subunit ribosomal RNA", at positions 592 to 976 of the family's 1831-position model. The record is from RNAcentral.